Molecule: long non-coding RNA, 1195 nt
Filed under: Salvator merianae (Argentine black and white tegu)
Lineage: Eukaryota; Metazoa; Chordata; Lepidosauria; Squamata; Teiidae
Description: lncRNA (ENSSMRG00000022239.1)
Source: RNAcentral
UUAGGCGAGGGGGAGGGGGUUCAGCACCAGCACCGCUGCUGCCCCUGCCCAUACAGAUAGAUCCUGCAUCCUGUGGGGAUGCCAGGAAAGCACCGCUCGAAAGACAUGUGUGAGGUGGAGGGGCACCGGGGGAGGACGGGCGGAAAGACAGAGGUGGAAAGAAGAGACUGAGCUCCCCGCACGGCCGUUAGUGGCUGGGUGGGUGGUGGUGGCGGUGGUUGCAAUAAGGCGGGAGCGGAACGGAGGAAAGAAACAGGCCAAUUCCUUACCCCUCGCGGCUAAGGCUCCCUAGACGGGCGGGCAGGAGGAGGAGCAGCGGCCGCCGCCGGCACUCGUCCUGUGCAGCUUCCGCCCCGCCAGUCAGUCAGCCAGCCAGCCAACCCGCCUGCCCUCGCUUCUCGACAGCCCAGCGUCCGGGGUCUGUCUGUAUCGCCGUCUCUCGGUCCUGCUGCUGCUGCCGCUACUGCUUGCUGUAGGGCCUGACUGACUCCCCUUUCACGUGAUGCAACCACAUGAUCCAGUGUCCCCCCCCCCCGCAAUUUCCAGCUCUGUGUCCCCUCCUCUCGCGGUAGGCAAAGGGACGGAAAAUGAAGACAACGGUGGCACCUCUAAGCAUGUGCGGAGUGCUUUGGCCCUCAGCAAAUGCACUCAGAUCUCUCCACCCAUGGGAACGCUGUCACGAGAGACUUAAAUUUUCAAGCUCCGGCCUGCCCUGCGGGUGAGGAAUGUGAUUUCCACGAGUUGUGUUUCCUUUGUGGUAUACAUAAGUUAGACAUCGCCUCUUUGAUCCCACAGCAAUCACUUGGUAUAACUGUAAUACAGUAUAUUAAUAUGAAAGGGGUAAUGAGGAAGCCUCACCAGAAGAGAAAGGGCUUUUCUCUUUUUCCAAUAUUUUAGUUGGGAUAUAUAUAUAUAUGAAAUUUACUAGAUUGCAAACUGUUUUUGGUGAAAUUACUCUGUUAAAAAUGUAUCUCAACAAUGUAUUUUUNNNAAAAAAUGACAAAUCAAGUACAUAAUAAUUUCUCACUUCUGGGAAAGAAAAAAAUAGUUUAUUUCUUUCAUAUGUGUGCAUAUCUCUGUUUUAAUUGCAAAUCUGUGUUAUAUAUAAUUCUUAAAUUCAUACAUGUUGUAUUUUUUAAUAACUACUCCUUAGAAUGCUUCCGAUACCAGAGAAUAAAUAAAUACCAUUCUUGCA